CCUACGGGAGGCAGCAGUGAGGAAUAUUGGUCAAUGGCCGGAAGGCUGAACCAGCCAUGCCGCGUGAAGGUCAGUGCCCUAUGGGCGUUAAACUUCCUUUGUGCGGGAGCAAUAAUGAUCACGUUUGGCCAGACGAGAGUACCGUACGAAUAAGCAUCGGCUAACACCGUGCCAGCAGCCGCGGUAAAACGGGGGAUGCAAGAGUUAUCCGGAUUUAUUGGGGUUAAAGGGUGCGUAGGCUGGGAGGUAAGUCAGCGGUGAAAUGCCCCCGCUCAACGGGGUGAAGUGCCAUUGAUACUGCCUUGCUGGAAUGCGGAUGCCGUGGGAGGAAUGUGUGGUGUAGCGGUGAAAUGCAUAGAUAUCACACAGAACACCGAUUGCGAAGGCAUCUCACGAAUCCGCGAUUGACGCUGAUGCACGAAAGCGUGGGUAUCAAACAGGAUUAGAUACCCCAGUAGUC
RNAcentral lists this ribosomal RNA (460 nucleotides) under uncultured bacterium. RNAcentral describes it as "partial 16S ribosomal RNA". It matches the Rfam family "Bacterial small subunit ribosomal RNA", at positions 338 to 795 of the family's 1533-position model. The record is from RNAcentral.